CAGUCGCCGCGGGAAAACGUAGGUGGCAAGCGUUGUCCGGAAUUAUUGGGCGUAAAGCGCGCGCAGGUGGUUUAAUAAGUCUGAUGUGAAAGCCCACGGCUCAACCGUGGAGGGUCAUUGGAAACGGUUAAACUUGAGUGCAGGAGAGAAAAGUGGAAUUCCUAGUGUAGCGGUGAAACGCGUAGAGAUUAGGAGGAACACCAGUGGCGAAGGCGGCUUUUUGGCCUGUAACUGACACUGAGGCGCGAAAGCGUGGGGAGCAAACAGGAUUAGAUACCCGUGUAGUCCCUGUCUCUUAUAC
This 301-nucleotide ribosomal RNA is filed under the name uncultured bacterium. RNAcentral describes it as "partial 16S ribosomal RNA". It matches the Rfam family "Bacterial small subunit ribosomal RNA", at positions 509 to 807 of the family's 1533-position model. The record is from RNAcentral.